This 4050-nucleotide long non-coding RNA is filed under the name Citrus maxima (pomelo). Its description in RNAcentral is "long non-coding RNA (CMAX_LNC000222)". The record is from RNAcentral. Lineage: Eukaryota; Viridiplantae; Streptophyta; Magnoliopsida; Sapindales; Rutaceae.
ACCGGCUCCCAGGAUGAACUUGUUGGUUUGGUGCGAAUGUGUUCAGCACGUCAUCAAUCACGGGUUCGAGGGGAGCUGGUACCAAGUCGGAAGCAACGUACAGGAAUUGUGUGUGUGUGUAUAUAUGGACCUGUCUAUGGUACAGAUUCUGUAACAAACAUCUCCCGUCAUCCCACCAUCCGAUCUUCUAUUGUUUAGUUUCUCACUCCACAUCCAACGGCUGAUGCUGCAGUCCGUAGCUUACAUGAAAAAAGGUAUUACAAAAUACCUUCUUUUUAUCACAAAUGCAAAAAAGUUAUUAUUAUUUUUUAUUGAUUUCUUAUUAAUAAGAGAUUUGAAAAGUAUAAACGUCUUAUUAUAUAUAAACCUAGUUUUUUUUGUUUAAGGAUAUCAAACAUUCAGUCAUAAUCUUGUUUUCUUUUUUUUCCUUUUGCUUGUCAUAUAUGCAAUGACGAGAUCUACGUCAUGAGAAAAGCAAUAAUGGAAUCACAUAUGGAGUUGAUCUUGAUGAUUCAAGUUGAAAAAGGAAUUUAUGUAUCUAUUCAUGAAGUGUAAUGACCUUUAUAUUAUGACAAACUUAGAAGAUACAAAUAUCCUUUUUCUUGUAUUAGAGAAUUUCAGUGGGUAUUUAUAAGUUCAUACUUUAAUCACAUUACUAGAGAUUGAAGAAAUUUGAGAUCUUACAAUGAAUUAUAUUUUUUUUUUUUUAAAAAAAAAACAAUCAUCUUAGGGCCAGUUUGAUAAUACUAUAACUUUUAAAAUAAUGGUUGUUAAUUAUGCAAUUGUAAAGAGAAUCAAUUAAACGUUUGGUAAUAUUUAUUUUUAAAAGCACUAUGGGUUUUGAAAGUAAUUAUAUAUGUUUAGUAAAUCUUACUAUUAAACUGCUGUAAAAAUAUAAAUAACUGAAAUAGACUUGAUAUCAAAUAAAUUUUAUUUAUCGAUUUAUAAACACGUAUGUAAAAUAUUUUUUAUUGUGUAUAUAAGAAUUGAUAACUAAAAUAAAUAUUUUCUUAUGAUUUUGAUUUUUAUCUUGUCAUCUCAAUGCAAUUGUCAAUAAUAAUAAUCUCUUCAAUUUUAAUGAUAUUUCCUAAUUGAUAAGGAUAAUUUUAUAUUUUUAUCAUAAGUGUGUGUAUAUAAAUUUUAUUAAGUAUAAACCUAAUUUAAAAAUCAGAUUUUUGAAAAUAAUCUCAUUUCCUACUUUUUCAAAACAUGUUAUAGGAUAGGGUGAUUUGCCAAAAGUGAUUUUUUAAAAAAAAUUUGAGCCUUCUAAAUGUAAUUCCAAUUGAGCUCUUUGUAUCUAAAUAUUAUUGGAAAAAUGAUAUUAUAUUAAUAAUAAUUGGUAACAUUAAGGUGGCAUUUAUUUUUUUCUUUGUGGGUUUGCAAUUUAAAAGGAUCUAGAUUUUUUUAAAGUUAAAAUACAAGUAUCCAAAUAAUUUUUUUUUUAAUAUCUCAAUAUAGGUGACAUCUUAUUUAAAAAUGACUUAUUUUAAAUACAACAUCUUAUUUUAAUUCUUUUUCAAAUAAUAUGUGAAAAAUUAGUGUCAGAAGCAUUGGUUUCAUUUCAUCAUUUAUUCUUAAUUCAAAACUUUGCAAGUCAAAAUAUAAAAAAAUUUACGGAACAAAAGGUAAAUGUGAUACAAUUCAUCACCAGCUCCCAGCGUGAUCUUGUUGGCUUGGUGCCAAUAUGUUCAGCACGUCAUCAAUCACGGGUUCGAGGGGAGCUGGUACCAAGUCGGAAGCAACGUACAGGAAUUGUGUGUGUGUGUACAUAUCUACGGACCUGUCUAUGUUACAGAUUCUGUAACAAACAUCUCCCGUCAUCCCACCAUCCGAUCUUCUAUUGUUUAGUUUCUCACUCCACAUCCAACGGCUGAUGCUGCAGUCUGUAGCUUCAAGUCCUAUAUAUAUAUGUAUGUUCUUACAUGAAAAAAGGUAUUACAAAAUACCUUCUUUUUAUCACAAAUGCAAAAAAGUUAUUAUUAUUUUUUAUUGAUUUCUUAUUAAUAAGAGAUUUGAAAAGUAUAAGCGUCUUAUUAUAUAUAAACCUAGUUUCUUUUGUUUAAGGAUAUCAAACAUUCAGUCAUAAUUUUUUUUUUUUUUUUGACCUUUUGGUUGUCAUAUAUGCAAUGAUGAGAUCAACGUCAUGAGAGAAGCAAUAAUGGAACCACACAUUCGGAGUUGAUCUUGAUGAUUCAAAUUGAAAAAAGAAUUUAUGUAUCUAUUGAUAAAGUGUAGUGACCUUUAUAUUAUGACAAACUUAAAAGAUACAAACAUCAUUUUCCUGUAUUAGAGAAUUUCAGUGGGUAUUUAUAAGUUCAUACUUUAAUCACAUCACUAGAGAUUGAAGAAAUUUGAGAUCUUACAAGGAAUUAUAUUUUUUUCAAAAAAAAAAAAAAUACAAUCAUCUUAAGGUCAGUUUGAUAAUACUAUAACUUUUAAAAUAAUUGUUGUUAAUUAUACAAUUGCGAAGAGAAUCAAUUAAACGUUUGGUAAUAUUUAUUUUUAAAAGCACUAUGGAUUUUUUUCCAAUGUAUAAUGUGUAUAGUGUAAAAUUUACUGAAAUAUAUGCCUAUUGCCAGAAAUUUGAAAGAACGAGCUUGUAUUAUUGAUAUUCCACUGCUCAAUUUUAUAUAUACAAUGGCCUUGUACUACAUUUACAGCUGGUGAAUAAUGCAUGUAUUGAAUUCGUACUUCAUCCCUUGCUGUUAAUCCUAGGGCUGAGAUUUAAGGGUAAAUGAUAAUACAAAGGUAAUAAGGUUCGUUAUGCACUUCUGUUUUAUUCACUGUUCAAUUCAGACCCCCUUAAUUCUUUGAUUCCAGUCUUGACCAUUGAUCUUCUUAAAAUCUUAAGACAUUUCAUCCUUCUACAAGUAUCAGGGACUAUCUUCUUGAAUGCUCGCUAGUGACUAUUUAGUUCCUGAAUUCAAAUACUCGCCAAGAGACUCUUCAUUGAGGCAUUUCAUCAAACGCUUUUAUACUUCCAUCAAACACUUGUUGCUUUAACUAUAAAAAAAGAAAAAAAAAUGGUGUUCACUGUUGUUUUGACCAAACUUCUCAUAACUCGGUGGUAUGGUGCUUCAAGAACCGUUUAACUUGGUCUUAGGUUCGAGAAGGUUGGUAGCUAAAUUUAGUUCAACUCCAUUAUGAUCCAUCUUCAUCAUUUACAACUUAAUUAAUGAUGCAUUCAAAAAUUAAUAAUGUUAUGUAUGAUUAGUUAAGAUAUUUAGUUUAUAUUUUAGUCAAUGUAAGAAAUGAUAUAUCACUAUUUGAUUUAUUUAAAUGGGGCAAAACUAUGUUGCAACAGUGGUACGGUACCACUGUUGCUUUCAGCCAUUGGAUCUUGCUAAUACAACUGUACAACUAUACAUCCAAUGACUGGUUGCAACUGUAAUACCAUACCACUGUUGCAACAUAGCUGGACCCAUUUAAAUGAUAGUUAAGUCAUAUCAUAUUUAAUUCAAAUGGUAAAAUUUUAUUAGUGAUGCAUCAAUUAGAAUACGAAUUAAUAUACCCUAAUUGAAUAAGUAUAAUAUUAUUAUUUAAAAAUGACUUGUUUUAAAUACAACGUCUUAUUUUAAUUCUUUUUCAAAUAAUAUGUGAAAAAUUAGUGUCAGAAGCAUUGGUUUCAUUUCAUCAUUUAUUCUUAAUUCAAAACUUUGCAAGUCAAAAUAUAAAAAAAUUUACGGAACAAAAGGUAAAUGUGAUACAAUUCAUCACCAGCUCCCAGCGUGAUCUUGUUGGCUUGGUGCCAAUAUGUUCAGCACGUCAUCAAUCACGGGUUCGAGGGGAGCUGGUACCAAAUCAGAAGCAACGUACAGGAAUUGUGUGUGACCUGCCUAUGGUACAGAUUCUGUACCUAACAUCUCCCGUACCCCACCGUCCCAUUUUCUAUGGUUUAAUAUCUCACUCCACAUCCAACCACAUCCAACGGCUGAUGCUGCAGUCUGUAGCUUACAGAUUCUGUAAGCUAGUCGAGUCCAUAUUUGUAUGUUCUUACGUGAAAAAAGGUAUUACAAAAUACCUUCUUUUUAUCACAAAUGCAAAAAGUUA